GGCUGGUCUGAUGGCAGUGGGUUAUCAAAACUUAUUGACAUUAGUGUCACUAAAGGUGGUAUACAUCCCCCCCCCCGCCAAUUGCUAAUUUGACUGGCUUUAA
Otolemur garnettii (small-eared galago) is the source of this 103-nucleotide unclassified non-coding RNA. It matches the Rfam family "Y RNA". Rfam says of the family: Y RNAs are components of the Ro ribonucleoprotein particle (Ro RNP), in association with Ro60 and La proteins. The Y RNAs and Ro60 and La proteins are well conserved, but the function of the Ro RNP is not known. The record is from Ensembl. NCBI's taxonomy places the organism in Eukaryota, Metazoa, Chordata, Mammalia, Primates, Galagidae.